RNAcentral lists this transfer RNA (72 nucleotides) under archaeon. Its description in RNAcentral is "tRNA-Lys". It matches the Rfam family "tRNA". From Rfam's summary of the family: Transfer RNA (tRNA) molecules are approximately 80 nucleotides in length. Their secondary structure includes four short double-helical elements and three loops (D, anti-codon, and T loops). Further hydrogen bonds mediate the characteristic L-shaped molecular structure. tRNAs have two regions of fundamental functional importance: the anti-codon, which is responsible for specific mRNA codon recognition, and the 3' end, to which the tRNAs corresponding amino acid is attached (by aminoacyl-tRNA synthetases). tRNAs cope with the degeneracy of the genetic code in two manners: having more than one tRNA (with a specific anti-codon) for a particular amino acid; and 'wobble' base-pairing, i.e. permitting non-standard base-pairing at the 3rd anti-codon position. The record is from RNAcentral.
GCCCCCAUAGCUCAAUGGUAGAGCAACGGCCUUUUAAGCCGGUGGUUGGAGGUUCGAAUCCUCCUGGGGGCA